UAUAAACAAAAGAGUUAAUAAUAUUUUUAUUAAACUAUUAUUAUUAUUAUUAUUAUUUAAUCCUUUAAUUAUUAUUAUUAUUAUCAUGUAUUGACCUAUUCACUCUUAUUAUACAUAAUUGAGUUUCAAAUAAAAAUAUUUAAUUAAAAUGAUCAUAUUCAUAAUAUUAGUGUACAGUUUGAAAAAACAACUAAUUAACAUAUUGAAAAAAAACUACUUACCAUAUUAAAAAUAGAAAAAACUAAUUUAUUUUUUAAACGAAAAAAGAGUAUAUAUUUUAUAAAUUC
RNAcentral lists this long non-coding RNA (287 nucleotides) under Lathyrus oleraceus (garden pea). RNAcentral describes it as "Pisum sativum (pea) long non-coding RNA (PSAT_LNC014832)". The record is from RNAcentral. Lineage: Eukaryota; Viridiplantae; Streptophyta; Magnoliopsida; Fabales; Fabaceae.